CCCCUGCCGGUGCCCUCCCCGCCCGGCCCUAGCUCUCUCGCCUUCUCGCCCGCCCGGCGCUGGCCCUGCUGGAUCCUGCGCGCCGGGGACUGGGGGCUGGCAGUGCAGACCGAACCCGGGGCCGAGGGGCUUCUCCACAGAGCCGCCUGGGGCUCGGUGGGGGGCGCUCAGCUCGACCCCAGCUAAGGGAGCACUAGGAAGUGCGGGCGUCCCCUUCCCUGCACCCUUGCGGGGCGGGAACCGUCGACCUAGAAGAAAAAAAAAGCUGAGGCAAACUUGAUAUAAGUAGAGAGGUUAUUUGGGCCAAGUUUGAAGAUUGCAACCCGGGAGCAUAGCUUCAAGUUGCCCUGAACAUAGGAUUUGCAACAGUGACAAAGGUGAGGCCAGAGAAGUGACAAGACAGAUGCCAGUCCAGCAGGUGGGCAUGUCCAGAAAGUGCAGCCUCAGGACACGGUCUGGGAACAAAGACUGCUGGAGAGUUGGAAGCUGGCAAGAGGCUCUCAGCUGUGAAGUACCUGGGGUGGGGGAGAAGUGGUCGGAGAAAGCAGAGAACACAAUUGAAGGCACUGGUUAUUCUAGCAAGGCUUUGACUGGAAUGGCAUAUUUUCAGAUAUGACCAGACUGCUCUGAGGAAUUCAGGUUGGCUUUAUAGAGUCAAUAAAAAGCUACCUGGAAAGAGUGGCCAUGUACCUUAUCUAUACAGUUCCCUUACAAGGUUCCUGAUCUUGAGACAUUUGGCUUCACUUGAACCUGUGUUUGAAGCUUUAGUGAACAUUGUCUUUGGGAGUAAGAAGUACUAGAAAAUUUAUGUUCAUCUGCAUCUUGUCACUGGGACAUGAGCAUAGGUGGUCUACCUUCAGUUUGGUCUGUGAACAGGAGGAUUACUUGAGCUCAGGAGUUCUAGUCCAGCCUGGGCAACAGAGCAAGACCCUGUCUCAAAAAGAAAGAAAGAAAUGAGGAUAUGAGUUUGCUGCUCUUUAAAUCGAUGACUUUGCAGCUCUUCAUCUGAAGAGGUGGCGUCUGUUUCUCCUGUUUGAGUGUGGCACAUCCAGGAGAGUGGCUUUGAGCAGUGGUGUGGCAGACGUGACUGUAGGCCAGCCCUGAGCUGAGGCUGCCAGGGGACUGCACACUUCUUCUCUCAGCUCUGCCAGCUGCUGCACUGUGUCUGGGCCAGCCCGCUGGAGCACAGAGUUCAGUGCAUUGGGACAGCUACAGCCCAUUGCAUCGGGACAGCCCACAGCAACAAGACCCACCUGUCGCCACUGCAGGUGCGUGAGGGUGCCCGGCUGAGAGCAGACAAACCGCCUAGCAGGUGGCUUUUCAAGCGGAAUCACAGACUAGCUCCAUCGCUGUGGUGAACGUUCUCCCCAGUGCCAGGAUUCCACUUGGCCCCUGACUGCUUGAGCAGCCGAUGUGACAGCCAUCUCUCUGCUGCCGUGCAUGUCGGCUGGGCUGGAGCCAGUGCAUCAGGAAGUAGACGCAGAAGUGGAUCAGGAGCAAAACAUUCCUGAGAGCUGGCAGAAGCUGGCGUCUGGAGCCGCUGGGAUGCGGGUCUCAUGGAACAAGGAAAUCAAAAAAACACCCGCCCGUGCACAAAUGGAUUUCCUGAACCCUUCUGUGCGCCAGUCCUUGGGGACGCAAAUGUGAAUGAGGCGGCGCUCUGUUGAAUUUCCGUGCCCAAACUCACCAACGUGCACAGAUACUGAUGUGGGAACACCCGCUAUAAGGUGGCCUGGAGCAGUGAAGACCCUGCUCUCUUGUGAACUCCCGCAACCAUGGCCAGCCCCCUGGGGCUCCCAGACCUUGGCAGUCAGCCCUUGUGGUUUUUAAAAAAUUUAUUUUUAUUUUUAUUUUUAGAGGCAGGGUCUCAUUAUGUC
This 1877-nucleotide long non-coding RNA is filed under the name Homo sapiens (human). Its description in RNAcentral is "HSALNT0402620". The record is from RNAcentral. Lineage: Eukaryota; Metazoa; Chordata; Mammalia; Primates; Hominidae.